AGGCCGAUGGCGACCGGCGCACGGGUGAGCAACACGUAUCCAACCUGCCGUCUACUCUUGGACAGCCUUCUGAAAGGAAGAUUAAUACAAGAUGGCAUCAUGAGUCCGCAUGUUCACAUGAUUAAAGGUAUUCCGGUAGACGAUGGGGAUGCGUUCCAUUAGAUAGUAGGCGGGGUAACGGCCCACCUAGUCUUCGAUGGAUAGGGGUUCUGAGAGGAAGGUCCCCCACAUUGGAACUGAGACACGGUCCAAACUCCUACGGGAGGCAGCAGUGAGGAAUAUUGGUCAAUGGGCGAGAGCCUGAACCAGCCAAGUAGCGUGAAGGAUGACUGCCCUAUGGGUUGUAAACUUCUUUUAUAAAGGAAUAAAGUCGGGUAUGCAUACCCGUUUGCAUGUACUUUAUGAAUAAGGAUCGGCUAACUCCGUGCCAGCAGCCGCGGUAAUACGGAGGAUCCGAGCGUUAUCCGGAUUUAUUGGGUUUAAAGGGAGCGUAGAUGGAUGUUUAAGUCAGUUGUGAAAGUUUGCGGCUCAACCGUAAAAUUGCAGUUGAUACUGGAUAUCUUGAGUGCAGUUGAGGCAGGCGGAAUUCGUGGUGUAGCGGUGAAAUGCUUAGAUAUCACGAAGAACUCCGAUUGCGA
RNAcentral lists this ribosomal RNA (638 nucleotides) under uncultured bacterium. Its description in RNAcentral is "bacterial SSU rRNA". It matches the Rfam family "Bacterial small subunit ribosomal RNA", at positions 82 to 718 of the family's 1533-position model. The record is from RNAcentral.